AUUUACAAAAUAAAGUAGAUAUGCUUUCACGAAAGAGGAUGAGCUAAACAGACAUAGUGUACCUAAUACGUGGUAUAGUAUUAUGAUAAUAUGUGUUUAGGGGUGAUAGGCCUACCAAGUCCUUUGAUAACUUGAUUCAUAUGAAAAGUAUUUAGUACAGGAACAAACUUAUAAAGUUAAGCUUUUAAGUAAUUAUAAAAAACAUUCUAUGUGCCUAAUGCAGUGUAAUAGCUAGUUAGUUUGUAACUAAACAUUAUUCGUGGGCAUUUUAUAGUAAAUAAUAUGAUGACUCGACUUGUUUUUCAGUUUAAAAAUGUUAAUAUUAGUAUUUAUAUAAAUAUGCUAAAGGAACUCGGCAACUAACCGCUCAACUGUUUAUCAAAAACAUAGCUAUGUGAAAUAAUAUAUAGUAAUUUCUGCUCCAUGAACAUUAAAUAGCCGCAGUACCCUGACUGUGCAAAGGUAGCAUAAUCAAUUGGCUUUUAAUUGAAGUCUGGUAUGAACGAAAAUAUGGGUGGUAACUGUCUUUAGUAUACUAGUUGGAACUUUAUAAGCAAGUGAAAAUGCUUGCAAGCUUAAAAAAGACGAGAAGACCCUAGAAACUUGAAUUAGUUUUUGUUGGGGCGACAGAAUUACAGAUAACUAAUUUUUAUGACACGACACUAGGUUGAAAGAAUAAGUUACUCUAGGGAUAACAGCAUAAUUUUAACAGUUUGUGACCUCGAUGUUGGACUAGGUAUUGUACCCUUUAGGCAAGGGUAUAGGAUGCUCUGUUCGAGCAGUUGUACCUACAUGAUCUGAGUUCAGACCG
This 811-nucleotide ribosomal RNA is filed under the name Helix pronuba. RNAcentral describes it as "partial large subunit ribosomal RNA". The record is from RNAcentral. Lineage: Eukaryota; Metazoa; Mollusca; Gastropoda; Stylommatophora; Helicidae.